RNAcentral lists this ribosomal RNA (1439 nucleotides) under uncultured organism. Its description in RNAcentral is "16S ribosomal RNA". It matches the Rfam family "Bacterial small subunit ribosomal RNA". The record is from RNAcentral.
CAGGCUUAACACAUGCAAGUCGAGGGGCAUCAGGAAGAAAGCUUGCUUUCUUUGCUGGCGACCGGCGCACGGGUGAGUAACACGUAUCCAACCUGCCCUUUACUCGGGGAUAGCCUUUCGAAAGAAAGAUUAAUACCCGAUGGCAUAAUGAUUCCGCAUGGUUUCAUUAUUAAAGGAUUCCGGUAAAGGAUGGGGAUGCGUUCCAUUAGGUUGUUGGUGAGGUAACGGCUCACCAAGCCUUCGAUGGAUAGGGGUUCUGAGAGGAAGGUCCCCCACAUUGGAACUGAGACACGGUCCAAACUCCUACGGGAGGCAGCAGUGAGGAAUAUUGGUCAAUGGGCGCUAGCCUGAACCAGCCAAGUAGCGUGAAGGAUGAAGGCUCUAUGGGUCGUAAACUUCUUUUAUAUAAGAAUAAAGUGCAGUAUGUAUACUGUUUUGUAUGUAUUAUAUGAAUAAGGAUCGGCUAACUCCGUGCCAGCAGCCGCGGUAAUACGGAGGAUCCGAGCGUUAUCCGGAUUUAUUGGGUUUAAAGGGAGCGUAGGUGGACUGGUAAGUCAGUUGUGAAAGUUUGCGGCUCAACCGUAAAAUUGCAGUUGAUACUGUCAGUCUUGAGUACAGUAGAGGUGGGCGGAAUUCGUGGUGUAGCGGUGAAAUGCUUAGAUAUCACGAAGAACUCCGAUUGCGAAGGCAGCUCACUGGACUGCAACUGACACUGAUGCUCGAAAGUGUGGGUAUCAAACAGGAUUAGAUACCCUGGUAGUCCACACAGUAAACGAUGAAUACUCGCUGUUUGCGAUAUACAGUAAGCGGCCAAGCGAAAGCAUUAAGUAUUCCACCUGGGGAGUACGCCGGCAACGGUGAAACUCAAAGGAAUUGACGGGGGCCCGCACAAGCGGAGGAACAUGUGGUUUAAUUCGAUGAUACGCGAGGAACCUUACCCGGGCUUAAAUUGCAGUGGAAUGAUGUGGAAACAUGUCAGUGAGCAAUCACCGCUGUGAAGGUGCUGCAUGGUUGUCGUCAGCUCGUGCCGUGAGGUGUCGGCUUAAGUGCCAUAACGAGCGCAACCCUUAUCUUUAGUUACUAACAGGUUAUGCUGAGGACUCUAGAGAGACUGCCGUCGUAAGAUGUGAGGAAGGUGGGGAUGACGUCAAAUCAGCACGGCCCUUACGUCCGGGGCUACACACGUGUUACAAUGGGGGGUACAGAAGGCAGCUAGCGGGUGACCGUAUGCUAAUCCCAAAAGCCUCUCUCAGUUCGGAUCGAAGUCUGCAACCCGACUUCGUGAAGCCGGAUUCGCUAGUAAUCGCGCAUCAGCCACGGCGCGGUGAAUACGUUCCCGGGCCUUGUACACACCGCCCGUCAAGCCAUGGGAGCCGGGGGUACCUGAAGUACGUAACCGCAAGGAUCGUCCUAGGGUAAAACUGGUGACUGGGGCUAAG